Solenopsis invicta (red fire ant) is the source of this 357-nucleotide long non-coding RNA. RefSeq lists it as uncharacterized. The transcript has 2 exons. NCBI's taxonomy places the organism in Eukaryota, Metazoa, Arthropoda, Insecta, Hymenoptera, Formicidae. The record is from RefSeq and is a predicted model, not a curated record.
CUUUCGCAGCAAUUGGCUACAUCAUCGCUUUAGAAAACUACUGUCCUCGAGAUGCAAUAUUACAAAAGACAUAUUUUUAUAUCAGGAAAGACAUUUGUAUGAUUGGAAGAUUCCAGGUCAUGUAAAAGAAGCAUUAUUUCUGUUAGCCAAGAAAUCUUUGGACAAGAACGUCAAGAACGAUAAUUUAGCAGACGAAAACAUAGGAAUUGAAGAAACAAUCUUAUAACCUAAGUAGUAUGUACUUUAAAAAACAUAUAAUAAUAUUAAAUCUUAGUGAGUUCGAUUUUUUGUCAAAUAAAUGUAUAAAAUCUUUAAAUUGUAUCAAUUAUAUACUGAAUACAUUGCUUUUUGAAAUAA